Molecule: transfer RNA, 69 nt
Filed under: Ictidomys tridecemlineatus (thirteen-lined ground squirrel)
Lineage: Eukaryota; Metazoa; Chordata; Mammalia; Rodentia; Sciuridae
Description: Spermophilus tridecemlineatus (thirteen-lined ground squirrel) tRNA
Rfam family: tRNA
About the family: Transfer RNA (tRNA) molecules are approximately 80 nucleotides in length.
Source: Rfam by way of RNAcentral
GGGGUUGUGGCUCAGUGGUAGAGCAUACAUCUUGCAUGUGUGAGGCACUGGGUUCGAUCCUCGGCACCA